UGGGGAAUAUUGCACAAUGGGGGAAACCCUGAUGCAGCCAUACCGCAUGUAUGAAGAAGGCCUUAGGGUUGUAAAGUACUUUCAGCGAGGAGGAAAGGCAGUAGAUUAAUACACUACUGCUGUGACGUUACUCGCAGAAGAAGCACCGGCUAACUCCGUGCCAGCAGCCGCGGUAAUACGGAGGGUGCAAGCGUUAAUCGGAAUUACUGGGCGUAAAGCGCAUGCAGGCGGUUUGUUAAGCGAGAUGUGAAAGCCCCGGGCUCAACCUGGGAACUGCAUUUCGAACUGGCAAACUAGAGUUCUUGAGAGGGUGGUAGGACUUCAGGUGUAGCGGUGAAAUGCGUAGAGAUCUGAAGGAAUACCAGUGGCGAAGGCGGCCACCUGGCAAGUAACUGACGCUCAGAUGCGAAAGCGUGGGUAGCAAACGGG
RNAcentral lists this ribosomal RNA (429 nucleotides) under uncultured bacterium. Its description in RNAcentral is "bacterial SSU rRNA". It matches the Rfam family "Bacterial small subunit ribosomal RNA", at positions 355 to 776 of the family's 1533-position model. The record is from RNAcentral.